CACAGAGGAGCUUGCUCCUCGGGUGACGAGUGGCGGACGGGUGAGUAAUGUCUGGGAAACUGCCCGAUGGAGGGGGAUAACUACUGGAAACGGUAGCUAAUACCGCAUAACGUCGCAAGACCAAAGUGGGGGACCUUCGGGCCUCACACCAUCGGAUGUGCCCAGAUGGGAUUAGCUUGUAGGCGGGGUAACGGCCCACCUAGGCGACGAUCCCUAGCUGGUCUGAGAGGAUGACCAGCCACACUGGAACUGAGACACGGUCCAGACUCCUACGGGAGGCAGCAGUGGGGAAUAUUGCACAAUGGGCGCAAGCCUGAUGCAGCCAUGCCGCGUGUAUGAAGAAGGCCUUCGGGUUGUAAAGUACUUUCAGCGGGGAGGAAGGUGUUGAGGUUAAUAACCUCAGCAAUUGACGUUACCCGCAGAAGAAGCACCGGCUAACUCCGUGCCAGCAGCCGCGGUAAUACGGAGGGUGCAAGCGUUAAUCGGAAUUACUGGGCGUANAGCGCACGCAGGCGGUCUGUUAAGUCAGAUGUGAAAUCCCCGGGCUUAACCUGGGAACUGCAUUUGAAACUGGCAGGCUUGAGUCUCGUAGAGGGGGGUAGAAUUC
This 607-nucleotide ribosomal RNA is filed under the name Pantoea stewartii. RNAcentral's name for it is "bacterial SSU rRNA". It matches the Rfam family "Bacterial small subunit ribosomal RNA", at positions 69 to 669 of the family's 1533-position model. The record is from RNAcentral. Lineage: Bacteria; Pseudomonadati; Pseudomonadota; Gammaproteobacteria; Enterobacterales; Erwiniaceae.